Molecule: ribosomal RNA, 279 nt
Filed under: uncultured bacterium
Lineage: Bacteria
Description: partial 16S ribosomal RNA
Rfam family: Bacterial small subunit ribosomal RNA
Source: RNAcentral
UGCCAGCAGCCGCGGUAAUACAGAGGUCCCAAGCGUUGUUCGGAUUCACUGGGCGUAAAGGGUGCGUAGGUGGCGAAGUAAGUCGGAUGUGAAAUCUCCGAGCUCAACUCGGAAAUGGCAUUGGAAACUGCUUUGCUCGAGGGUUGGAGGGGGGACUGGAAUACUUGGUGUAGCAGUGAAAUGCGUAGAUAUCAAGUGGAACACCAGUGGCGAAGGCGAGUCCCUGGACAACUCCUGACACUGAGGCACGAAAGCUAGGGGAGCAAACAGGAUUAGAUA